Molecule: long non-coding RNA, 1568 nt
Organism: Canis lupus familiaris (dog)
Lineage: Eukaryota; Metazoa; Chordata; Mammalia; Carnivora; Canidae
Exons: 8
Source: RefSeq, a predicted model, not a curated record
CUUGAAGUUGAAGGGGGCCUUGAGAUCCAGUAUUAUUGUUACAUGCAAGAAAACUGAGGUCCCAGGAAGUACACCUCCUGCCCAAACAUGUCCAGUAUAGCUACCAGCACCCACUCUAGAUGGCACAGUAAGAUGGAGAUUGCCAUAAGAUGGGUGUUAGAUCAGAGGACCCAGAAGAACUCAAACCUCUCCCAACAAAAGAAGCCUCAGUUGCCCAUUCUUACGGUUGAGCCUAACAAAUGGAGAAUUUCCCAAAGUCUAGACCAUGGAACACCGGUCACAUGGCAUCCUCUGAGUAAAGAAGAAUGUUGAGUGGUUAAAAAGGUGCCAAAUAGGAGCUACAGGGUCAGGAGCAGCUGGGACCUGACCUCUCCACCCCACUCCACCCCCUGCCCUAAGACUGUCCAGCCCUGCCCCCCCGCCCCCUCCAGCAGCAUGGAGCCCAACAGAGAGAGAGACCACUGGGAGUGCAGGUCCAGGAGCCACCAGUUCUCCACGAACCCUGGCCUGGAGCUGCAGCAAGGGAGAUGUCUGCUUACCCCAGAGAGAUGGAGGGAAAAGGGAGAGGAGUAGGCCAGAUUUGCCCAGGGUCAAAAGAGUCGUUCGCUGUGUGGUUGGUCUGGGUGCCUACUUCCGUGUUUCCAGCCAGACCCAGCUGGGCAGAGCAUGAAACUGGCCCUUCUCAGCCAGCUUCCCACUGGAGUGACAGUUCGGUCCCUGGAUGGAAAAGCUGCCUGGCAUAUUCCCUGAGUCCCUCCCAGGUGCCAGCACCUGCUGGGCGUCCAGCAUGGAAGUAGCCAAGGUCCUUGCCCUCGUGGCAUUUACAGUCCAGCGUGGAAUCAAGCUGAGCUUCCAAAUACAUAGUCACACUGUGAUCAUGGCAGCAUUUCUUGAGAGAGCUUACCAGAUGAAGAAAAGGAGGCUCAGAAGGAGGAAAUGCUAUGCCUUCAGACGUACGGUAUGAAACUGAACUCGGACAGAGAAGGACCCAGACUGACCAACCACCUUUCCUGCUCUUGGAGGGGAGGCUAAGCCUGACACAUAGGUCCUGCCUCCAGUACCUCCCAAAUGAAAAUAAAGGGACAAAGACAGCAGAAGAACAGACAACAGCUGCAGAAUUUUGGAAGCCAGAGUCAGAUGGGUGAGGGGACACGGACUUCCCUGACCGGAUAUAGUUAAAUUCGACAUUGUUGUUCAUUGUUGUGGGUCGAGUAGUGUCCCCCUAAAGCUCAUGUCCACCCGGAACCUCACUAGGUGAUCUAAUUUAGAAAUAGAAUUUUGCAGAUGUAAUUAGUUAAGUUAAAAUGAGGUUUGAGAGCACCUGGGUGGCUCAGCGGUUGAGCAUCUACCUUUGGCUCAGGUCGUGAUCCCAGGGUCCUGGGAUCGAGUCCCACAUCCGGCUCCCCACAGGGAGCCUGCUUCUCCCUCUGUGUCUCUGCGUGUCUCUCAUGAAUAAAUAAAUAAAAUCUUAGAAAAUAAAAAUAAAAUAAGAGAUUUGACUGGAUUAGGGAGGGCCCUCAGUCCAGUGAGGCCUCGUGAAGAUACAGAGACAAAGAAAUAAGCCCAUG